GUUGCGAAUGAUUCCAAACUUGCUUGCUGCAUGACAUCACACUAUACCACUAAGCUGUGCUCAUCUGUACUGUUUUCCUAUCUAUACAACGGCUGCGGUUUUAAGGUGUAUUGUCUUGGCCUCUUUUCACAGCAGCAUUCACUGUUUUGAAUUCACUGUGGAUGAAAAGCGAGACCAUCUCUCCAUUCUAGUGUAUCCACAAGGCCUAGUAGGGGCCUAUGCCUAUAGGCUAUAGCACCAUGAUAAACGACUUUGGGCCUAGCCUAGGAAGAGACACAAAAUAUCAGCACAAAAUAUCAAGGGACCAUACUUACAGCCAGGACACCACCUUUCCAUGCAUCUCCGUUUAAUGUGUUUCCAUCUUGGAUUAUCCUCAUUCCUCUUGCUGGCUUCUUUAAUUGGUUUUUCACUUCACCGCAUCAAUGUAAGUAUCAUUUAAUUGUAAGCAUUCUAGAUCCUUUAAAGUCAUAAAUCAGCAGUCAUCUGCAGUUGCUGCUGUCUUCUCUCCUUGAGAACGUAAGUAUCGUUCAAUAAGUUCAAUUUUAGUGCCUAAUGCCCCCAGGUGGGGGGGGGGGGCAUAGACACUAUGUUAUCAUCUGGCAGUAGUAAGAAGUUGAAAGUGCAUACAUAAGAAAUAGAAAUGAUGUAAUAUAGAGAGCCUUCGGUGUUAGUUUCCUACUUGGAUAACGCGCAUGCGUAACCCUGUUUACGUCUCUGAUCGAUCCAUUUCGCUAAGCAAUUGUAGCUAGAAUAUUAAUAGGAAUGAUAGAAUUUUCAAUGAUUCUAAGCCUGAUAAACUAUAGAAUUGCGAAGGUUUUGAGUAUUUCGAUAAACAGCUUGUGCACUUCUUCAGAUGAACUGUGUGCACGAAAGCUAGUUUACUGUCAAA
Anneissia japonica is the source of this 889-nucleotide long non-coding RNA. RefSeq lists it as uncharacterized. The record is from RefSeq and is a predicted model, not a curated record. Lineage: Eukaryota; Metazoa; Echinodermata; Crinoidea; Comatulida; Comatulidae. The transcript has 3 exons.